ACCCAGCUGACGAGUCCGAAAUAGGACGAAACGCGCUAACUGGAU
This 45-nucleotide non-coding RNA is filed under the name Schistosoma mansoni. The record is from RNAcentral. Lineage: Eukaryota; Metazoa; Platyhelminthes; Trematoda; Strigeidida; Schistosomatidae.